This 615-nucleotide ribosomal RNA is filed under the name Clonostachys sp. RNAcentral's name for it is "partial large subunit ribosomal RNA". It matches the Rfam family "Eukaryotic large subunit ribosomal RNA", at positions 76 to 721 of the family's 3401-position model. The record is from RNAcentral. Lineage: Eukaryota; Fungi; Ascomycota; Sordariomycetes; Hypocreales; Bionectriaceae.
UGCCCUAGUAACGGCGAGUGAAGCGGCAACAGCUCAAAUUUGAAAUCUGGCGCAAGCCCGAGUUGUAAUUUGUAGAGGAUGUUUCUGGCGACGCGCCUUCCGAGUUCCCUGGAACGGGACGCCAUAGAGGGUGAGAGCCCCGUACGGUUGGAUGCCUAGCCUCUGUGAAACUCCUUCGACGAGUCGAGUAGUUUGGGAAUGCUGCUCUAAAUGGGAGGUAUACGUCUUCUAAAGCUAAAUACCGGCCAGAGACCGAUAGCGCACAAGUAGAGUGAUCGAAAGAUGAAAAGCACUUUGAAAAGAGGGUUAAAAAGUACGUGAAAUUGUUGAAAGGGAAGCGUUCAUGACCAGACUUGGGCAGGUUGAUCAUCCGUGGUUCUCCGCGGUGCACUCUGCCUGCCCAGGCCAGCAUCAGUUCGCUCCGGGGGAUAAAGGCUCUGGGAAUGUGGCUCCUUCGGGAGUGUUAUAGCCCACUGCGUAAUACCCUGGGGUGGACUGAGGUUCGCGCUCUGCAAGGAUGCUGGCGUAAUGGUCAUCAACGACCCGUCUUGGAACACGGACCAAAGAGUCGUCUUCGUAUGCGAGUGUUCGGGUGUCAAACCCCUACGCGUAAUG